RNAcentral lists this ribosomal RNA (327 nucleotides) under uncultured eukaryote. Its description in RNAcentral is "partial 18S ribosomal RNA". It matches the Rfam family "Eukaryotic small subunit ribosomal RNA", at positions 1470 to 1796 of the family's 1831-position model. The record is from RNAcentral.
CCCUUAGAUGUUCUGGGCCGCACGCGCGCUACACUGACGAAUGCAACGAGCUUAUAACCUUGGCCGAAAGGUCUGGGUAAUCUCCAAAUUUCGUCGUGAUGGGGAUAGAUUAUUGCAAUUAUUAAUUUUCAACGAGGAAUGCCUAGUAAGCGCAAGUCAUCAGCUUGCGUUGAUUACGUCCCUGCCCUUUGUACACACCGCCCGUCGCUCCUACCGAUUGAAUGGUCCGGUGAAGCGUUCGGACCGUGGCCUUUGGACGGUUCGCCGUCUGUUGGCUGCGGGAAGUUCGUUAAACCUUAUCAUUUAGAGGAAGGAGAAGUCGUAACA